RNAcentral lists this ribosomal RNA (254 nucleotides) under uncultured bacterium. Its description in RNAcentral is "partial 16S ribosomal RNA". It matches the Rfam family "Bacterial small subunit ribosomal RNA", at positions 524 to 776 of the family's 1533-position model. The record is from RNAcentral.
GACGAACCGUGCGACCGUUAUUCGGAAUCACUGGGCUUAAAGCGCGUGUAGGCGGGUCGGCACGUCGGGAGCUGAAAUCCCCCGGCUCAACCGGGGAAGGGGCGCCGAUACGACCGGCCUGGAGGGACGUAGGGGGGGCUGGAACUUCCGGUGGAGCGGUGAAAUGCGUUGAGAUCGGAAGGAACGCCCGUGGCGAAAGCGAGCCCCUGGACGUCUACUGACGCUGAGACGCGAAAGCCAGGGGAGCGAACGGG